RNAcentral lists this ribosomal RNA (392 nucleotides) under uncultured bacterium. RNAcentral describes it as "bacterial SSU rRNA". It matches the Rfam family "Bacterial small subunit ribosomal RNA", at positions 619 to 1009 of the family's 1533-position model. The record is from RNAcentral.
GAAAGCAUUUGAAACAGCAAGACUUGAGUACAGGAGAGGAAAGCGGAAUUCCUGGUGUAGAGGUGAAAUUCGUAGAUAUCAGGAGGAACACCCAUGGCGAAGGCAGCUUUCUGGACUGAUACUGACGCUGAGGCGCGAAGGUGUGGGUAGCGAACAGGAUUAGAUACCCUGGUAGUCCACACAGUAAACGAUGUUCACUAGGUGUAGCGGAUAGUAAAAUCUGCUGUGCCGGAGCUAACGCAUUAAGUGAACCGCCUGGGGAGUACGGUCGCAAGAUUAAAACUCAAAGGAAUUGACGGGGGCCCGCACAAGCGGUGGAGCAUGUGGUUUAAUUCGACGCAACGCGAAGAACCUUACCUGGGUUUGACAUCCUGUGAAUCCCCGAGAGAUCG